GCAGCCGCGGUAAUUCCAGCUCCAAUAGCGUAUAUUAAAGUUGUUGCAGUUAAAAAGCUCGUAGUUGGAUCUCGGGUCCGGGCUCGCGGUCCACCUCGCGGUGGUUACUGCCCGUCCCGACCUACCUACCGGUUUUCCCUUGGUGCUCUUAACUGAGUGUCUCGGGUGGCCGGAACGUUUACUUUGAAAAAAUUAGAGUGUUCAAAGCAGGCGCUUCGCCUGAAUAAUGUUGCAUGGAAUAAUGGAAUAGGACCUCGGUUCUAUUUUGUUGGUUUUCGGAACUCGAGGUAAUGAUUAAGAGGGACAGACGGGGGCAUUCGUAUGAUGGUGUUAGAGGUGAAAUUCUUGGAUCGCCGUCAGACGAACUACUGCGAAAGCAUUUGCCAAGAAUGUUUUCAUUAAUCAAGAACGAAAGUCAGAGGUUCGAAGACGAUCAGAUACCGUCCUAGUUCUGACCAUAAACGAUGCCGACUAGCGAUCCGCCGGAGUUGUUUCAAUGACCCGGCGGGCAGCUUCCGGGAAACCAAAGUCUUUGGGUUCCGGGGGAAGUAUGGUUGCAAAGCUGAAACUUAAAGGAAUUGACGGAAGGGCACCACCAGGAGUGGAGCCUGCGGCUUAAUUUGACUCAACACGGGAAAGCUUACCCGGCCCGGACACCGUAAGGAUUGACAGAUUGAGAGCUCUUUCUUGAUUCGGUGGGUGGUGGUGCAUGGCCGUUCUUAGUUGGUGGAGCGAUUUGUCUGGUUAAUUCCGAUAACGAACGAGACUCUAGCCUAUUAAAUAGUUCGCCGAUUUCGAUCUGUCGGCGUUAACUUCUUAGAGGGACAAGUGGCUUUUAGCCACGCGAGAUUGAGCAAUAACAGGUCUGUGAUGCC
Molecule: ribosomal RNA, 875 nt
Filed under: uncultured eukaryote
Lineage: Eukaryota
Description: SSU rRNA
Rfam family: Eukaryotic small subunit ribosomal RNA
Source: RNAcentral